AUUGAACGCUGGCGGCAGGCCUAACACAUGCAAGUCGAGCGGAUGAAUCGAGCUUGCUCCUGGAUUCAGCGGCGGCCGGGUGUGUACUGCCUUUGAAUCUGCCUUGUCUUGGGGGAUAACGUCCUGAUACGGGCUCUUAUCCCGCAUACGUCCUGUUGUCGCAAUUGGGUGUUCUUCGGACCUCUCGCUUUCUUAUUAGCCUAGGUCGGAUUAGCUAGUUGGUUGGGUAAAGGCCUACCAAGGCGACGAUCCGUAACUGGUCUGAGAGGAUGAUCAGUCACACGGGAACUGAGACACGGUCGAGACACCGACGGGAGGAAGCAGUGGGGAAUAUUGGACAAGGGGGGAAAGCGUGAUCCAGCAAAGCCGCGUGUGUGAAGAAGGUGUUCGGAUGGGAAAGCACUGAAAGUUGGGAGGAAGGGAAGUAAGUUAAUACCGGGCGGUAAUGACGGUACCAACAGAAUAAGCACCGGCUAACUUCGUG
Molecule: ribosomal RNA, 484 nt
Filed under: uncultured bacterium
Lineage: Bacteria
Description: partial 16S ribosomal RNA
Rfam family: Bacterial small subunit ribosomal RNA
Source: RNAcentral